Molecule: long non-coding RNA, 1190 nt
Filed under: Olea europaea subsp. europaea
Lineage: Eukaryota; Viridiplantae; Streptophyta; Magnoliopsida; Lamiales; Oleaceae
Source: RNAcentral
CUUAAACAUUCAGGAGAAGUUCCUUUCUGAAGAAAAAGAAGAUUGCGUGAAAAGGUAAGUCUUUCAAUUCCAAAUUUAAUCUUGCAGUUCAUGCAAAUACUGGGAAAAUUAUGCAGUUGGACCUUUGGCAGCUUUAAACUUUAUUCUUAACUUGGAUUUUGAUUUUAAAACACUGUUUUUUACGUUGGUUUCAAAAUUUUCUAAAAUGAUUUCUGGUCAUUGCAAAAACAGUUUAUUAGGGUUUAUGGUAUAUAUUUCCUGCCUAUGAAAACUUUGUUGGCUUGUUUGAAAAUGUCUCAUGUGCACUAGGAUUGAAUGUUAUGGAAGAAAAUAAAGUUAAAAAUUUGUUUAUUAAUAUUUGUCUGGUAAUGCUUGCUAUUAAAAUUCUCAAAAUAUCAAGUAGCUAAAAGUUCUAUAAUCUGAGAAUUAUAUUCUGUAUUUUAUAGGUUUGGAGCAUUAUCUCCCCCAUCUGAAAUCAUUUUACUUUCUUUUUCAAUAGACUGAUAGGGGUUCAUACCAAGCACCCAAGGUGCAAAGCUUUCACCCGAGCUCACUCCCCACUGACAUGAAUAGCAAACCUGGCCAAAGAAUCACUAUUUCGAUUGAAGCUCUGCCUUUUUUUGUUGCAUUUCCACCAGAAAGGAAAGGUGAGGGGGGAGCCUCUACUCCUCUGGCACCUACUGGUACGUCAGGAUCCAAUUGGUGUGUACGCAAUUUUUUUCGAGCUAAAAAGUCCCAUUACGUUAUAACUUUGUGAUGUCAUGAUAUUGGUCUUCUGUUCAUUUGUAGUUAAUCCAAAGUUGAGUAUCCAAUUUAAAACUUCUUGCAAAAAGCAUCUGCUUUCUUUUACAUUAAAUUUCAUGUGUUUUGUUCAUUUUUAGUAGAAUUUAUUCUAGUUAUGAUGCCUGCAGUGCGGAUUAAAGCUAAAUCAGACACCGGAAAAACAGAAAGAAAUUGCUAUUUGCAGCCAAAAUACAGUGAGCUUUGAGGUGGUGACUAUCUAUUUAUUGGUCUACCUAAAAAUCCAGAAUGGCCGUUGGCAAUCUUAAUUUAUCAAGUUUCCAAUAAAUUCAGACUUCAGUUGAUCAUUUCCAGGAAAUAUGUUGAAAUCAAUAUUAUUUUUACUUUUAGAGAAUUACUUGGCAUAUGAUGAAUAGCAGUUUUGCUACAAUUAGUCACUUUGAGAGUUU